RNAcentral lists this ribosomal RNA (587 nucleotides) under uncultured rumen bacterium. Its description in RNAcentral is "bacterial SSU rRNA". It matches the Rfam family "Bacterial small subunit ribosomal RNA", at positions 874 to 1503 of the family's 1533-position model. The record is from RNAcentral.
CACUGGGAGUACGCGCACGUGACUCAAAGAAUGACGGGGCCGCACAGCGAGAACAUGUGUUAUCGAUGAUACGCGAGACUACCGGCUGAACUGCCAGCGACGAUACAGAGAUGUGAGGCCUUCGGGCGCUGUGAGUGCUGCACGGUGUCGUCAGCUCGUGCCGUGAGUGUCGGCUUAAGUGCCAUAACGAGCGCAACCUUUUCGUCAGUGCCAUCAGGUGAAGCUGGGCACUCUGGCGAUACUGCCACGUAAGGUGUGAGGAAGGUGGGGAUGACGUCAAAUCAGCACGGCCCUUACGUCCGGGGCUACACACGUGUUACAAUGGGGAGUACAGAGAGUCGGUGCAUGGCAAUAUGCAUCCAAUCAUGAAAGCUCUCCUCAGUUCGGAUUGGGGUCUGCAACCCGACCCCAUGAAGCUGGAUUCGCUAGUAAUCGCGCAUCAGCCAUGGCGCGGUGAAUACGUUCCCGGGCCUUGUACACACCGCCCGUCAAGCCAUGAAAGCCGGGGGCGCUUGAAGUCCGUGACCGCAAGGAUCGGCCUAGAGCGAAACUGGUAAUUGGGGCUAAGUCGUAGCGAAGGUAACCUA